Long non-coding RNA from Macrobrachium nipponense, 617 nucleotides. RefSeq lists it as uncharacterized. The transcript is spliced from 5 exons. The record is from RefSeq and is a predicted model, not a curated record. Lineage: Eukaryota; Metazoa; Arthropoda; Malacostraca; Decapoda; Palaemonidae.
CCAUACUUCCCAGAGACCGGAGCAGUCAGAUCCACCAAAGACCAUGUAAAUGAUCUGGAUGAUGCAACGCCAGAAUGAUGCAAACCAAACAACCAGCAAGCCUGAGCAGCCAAAUGGAAACAUUCACAGCUUACCUAUAAAAUUUUCGUGGUCUGCUAACUGGAAUGGUGACUACUAAUUACGUGUGGGUGAUGACGUCAGUGAGACGGACAGGCAGGCGUACCAACCUAUGAAAGACAAAGUCGCCUGUAUUGAUGUUCUUCGACUCUCUCUGAAGGCGAAGUGAAGGCUGCGAACAAAAUGGCGGAAGACCCCACAUAUCUAAAGGUGUGGAAAUAGGAGAGAGCGACGCUUCCAUCGGAUCGGAGAGCAUAACGUAGCGUCGCUGAUUCCGUCCGCCGAUGACUCCACCGCCAUUACGCUUUGCCAAGACGACUGCUACUCACGACGCAUCAGCAAUGGCGGAGAAGUUCUAGAGGGGUGACGGACCCCGCUGAGGGUCGAGGGGAGACGACUGAGGACGCUGAGGGGAAGAGGGAGAACUGGCGUGUAGUACCUUGUAUUGGAGAGGGGAAAUGUACUCACUUCUCCAUAGACGUCCACCCAUGUAGCACAAA